RNAcentral lists this long non-coding RNA (556 nucleotides) under Junco hyemalis (dark-eyed junco). Its description in RNAcentral is "lncRNA (ENSJHYG00000014260.1)". The record is from RNAcentral. Lineage: Eukaryota; Metazoa; Chordata; Aves; Passeriformes; Passerellidae.
CUGAGCUCAGCCCCUAGGCGACUUAAUGGGCUUUUAAAAAACCCCUUUGUAUUGGAUCCAUUCUUCUUCCCAAAGCUUGCUGGCCCCGCUCCAAGGGGAAACCUUUGAUUCUACAAAUACACCACAAUUAUCAUCCCGAGGAGUCUCAGCUAUCAGGCUCCCCGCCUCCAAAAGAUCAGCAGGAUGCCAGAGAGGUCCGUGUGCUGCUCGGGCUGCUCUCGCCAGCAUUUCCACCACCCAGCACUGGGAAGCUCGACUUGGUGUGGGGGAGAUGGAAACCGAAAUCUUGCCAAGCACUGCAUCCACUCCCUGACUUAUCCCUUGCUCACGACUCCCCUAAGCUCUCCUCCAGGUAAUACAAAUCCUGCCCUUCUGCAAUGCUCUCCAGUCCAGUGCUGGGGUUUUUGAAGGGAUUGUGUGCUCCACUUCCAGCAGGAGUCCAGCACUUCUCUCCUUGCAGAAAUCCCCUUUUAAAGCACGUCAUCAGUACUCUUCUGCAGCUGUUUUUCUUAGUAGUCUAAAUAAAGCUUUCAAGUUACGACUCCUUGAUGUGAAG